GCAUGCGGCAGCUACCAUGCAGUCGAGCGGUAACAGGGGUAGCUUGCUACCCGCUGACGAGCGGCGGACGGGUGAGUAAUGCAUAGGAAUCUGCCCGAUAGUGGGGGAUAACCUGGGGAAACCCAGGCUAAUACCGCAUACGUCCUACGGGAGAAAGGGGGCUUCGGCUCCCGCUAUUGGAUGAGCCUAUGUCGGAUUAGCUAGUUGGUGAGGUAAUGGCUUACCAAGGCAACGAUCCGUAGCUGGUCUGAGAGGAUGAUCAGCCACAUCGGGACUGAGACACGGCCCGAACUCCUACGGGAGGCAGCAGUGGGGAAUAUUGGACAAUGGGGGCAACCCUGAUCCAGCCAUGCCGCGUGUGUGAAGAAGGCCCUCGGGUUGUAAAGCACUUUCAGCGAGGAAGAACGCCUAUCGGUUAAUACCCGGUAGGAAAGACAUCACUCGCAGAAGAAGCACCGGCUAACUCCGUGCCAGCAGCCGCGGUAAUACGGAGGGUGCAAGCGUUAAUCGGAAUUACUGGGCGUAAAGCGCGCGUAGGUGGCUUGAUAAGCCGGUUGUGAAAGCCCCGGGCUCAACCUGGGAACGGCAUCCGGAACUGUCAGGCUAGAGUGCAGGAGAGGAAGGUAGAAUUCCCGGUGUAGCGGUGAAAUGCGUAGAGAUCGGGAGGAAUACCAGUGGCGAAGGCGGCCUUCUGGACUGACACUGACACUGAGGUGCGAAAGCGUGGGUAGCAAACAGGAUUAGUCCCC
Molecule: ribosomal RNA, 749 nt
Filed under: Vreelandella titanicae
Lineage: Bacteria; Pseudomonadati; Pseudomonadota; Gammaproteobacteria; Oceanospirillales; Halomonadaceae
Description: bacterial SSU rRNA
Rfam family: Bacterial small subunit ribosomal RNA
Source: RNAcentral